Long non-coding RNA from Pan troglodytes (chimpanzee), 1676 nucleotides. RefSeq lists it as uncharacterized. Lineage: Eukaryota; Metazoa; Chordata; Mammalia; Primates; Hominidae. The record is from RefSeq and is a predicted model, not a curated record. The transcript has 9 exons.
CCCUCUCUUACACGGUGAAGUGUAAACAAAGACCUGCAGGAAGUAAAGGGGCUACAAGGGAUCCAUGGAAAGAGCAUUCCCAGAAGGGGGGCCAGGGCAGUGCGCACAGUGAGGAGAGCAGGUGUGUGCGAGUUGAGGAAACUGGGCCCUGAGACAUUAACUUGCCCAAAAGAUCACAGUGGGCAACAUUCUAGAGCACAAUGGAAGCCGACAGCAAUGUCAGUGAAGACUGAAAACAGAACGUGGAGAGAGAUGUAGCUUACUAGAGCCCUGUGGCUUCAAUCCCCACCAGGAAUGUCGUUUAAGAGGAAGGUGAUCUAGCACAAAUUCACAUUUGCUUGAGGAAGAAUACAAACAGAAGCAGCCUCGGAGGGCGGACGGGGCUGGGGAAUCCCUGGCCUCCCUCCUUUCCUUCUGGCUGAUCUUCUGCAGGAGACCUCACAAAAGGGAGCUGAGGGGCCAGGAAGCCUGUGGAUGCCCUGAAGAAGAAUGAGUAGAUCUGAAAGGGCAGUAGAACAGAACCAGAAUCCAGUGCAAAGGCCCUGGGGCAGGAGUUCGCAUGAGAAGUGGGGAGAAGGAACCAGCCUAUGAUCCAGGAACGCAGUGAACAAGAUUUGGGAAGUUGACAGAGAAUAUGAGGCCUCCUCUCCAAACAGAAACUCCAGGACGCUUGGUUGAUUCACUGACACAUGCACAGUGCUGAGCAUAUUACCAGACACCAGAGUCUGUGUUCCAGAAAUGGAAGAAUAGCUUUGAUACAGGUUGGCUUUUCUCUUUUGGAACGAAGAAAUCAAGAGACUAAUUUUUUACCCAUCCAUCCAUCUAUCCAUCUAUCCAUCCAUCCAGCCACAUCUUUCCUAAGUGACAGGACAUAUCACACACCAACCGUGUGCAAAGCACUCUACCUAAAGAUCAGCGCUAACAGAGGAAUAAGCAGAGGCCUCCAGGAGCAAAGAGUGAAAAGUCUGGCAAGGCUUCAAGUACGGGGGAAGUGGGUGGAGCUUUCACCGUAGAAUCUUUCCUAGAGAAAAAGCAAAGAGUGGGGCAACAAUAAAGGCAUUAAAAAUAACUGUCAAGUUGAAGAAAAAGUAUUUUGCCAAAGACUGAGGAUUCGGAUAUGACUACGGAAAGGAAAACUAAGCUCCAUGAGAAGAGGGGACUUGCCCAUGUGGCUCAGGGCUCUAUGCCCAGUGCCCUAGACAGUGCCUGACUGUGUGUGCGGAAUGAAUGAAUAACCUUGGUGAUCCACCCAAUGGCACUGGCGCUCAGUGACCUCAUCUGAAAUGUAGAGACGGGGUUUCACCAUGUUGGCCAGGAUGGUCUCGAUCUCCAGACCUCGUGAUCCACCCAUCUCCACCUCCACCUCCCACCGUGUAGCUUUAAAUAUUCAACUCCGUUGACUCCUUGAGCGACCUGUUGCUUCCAGAAGUACAGUCAACAUAUCCAAAGCAGCUGCUGAGACAAAAUGACUCUGCAAACCUAAUCCAUGCUAGGCACCAUGGACUCGUUUUCAUCUUGCAAAAACCCUCAACAGCACCCCCAAUUUACGCACAAUUUGCAGUAAGAGAGGUUAAGUGACUCAAUGUGGACACACAGCAUUUAAAAGGAGGACUGGGACUUAGACAGCCCCAUCCAACAUAUCUGUUAGGAAAGUGAUUAAACUCUGCAUCAGAGGA